RNAcentral lists this long non-coding RNA (748 nucleotides) under Androctonus crassicauda. The record is from RNAcentral. Lineage: Eukaryota; Metazoa; Arthropoda; Arachnida; Scorpiones; Buthidae.
GAACUUUUGAAUUGGUAAACAUUAUUUAUUAAGUAAUAGAAAAUUAUUUAAUGAAAUGUGUCAAUGUUUUAUAGCAGAAAUUCCAUCGUCUGCCAUGAAAUUGGAAAAUUUAAAAUGGCAACUGAGAACAGAAAUAGUAUAUCCUCUGGUUUAACUAGCAUAUUAUGUAAAUAUUUUCCAUUCCCAGAUAGGGAGUAUAAAUUUUUACUGUUUAUUUUUAUUAAAUUAAGUAUUAUAGUAGUUAUAAUUUUGACCAUAGUCUGUCCUAUGAUUCCUGGUGCCCUAGACAAACUGAACAUUUAUAAACACUAUUAGAGGGUGGAUGUAGUAGGUUUAUGAUGAUAAAUAAUGUAGAGAAAGGAAUCAUCAAAUUGUGACAUCACACUUUUGUAAAGAUAGUUAAAAAGUUUUACAUUUCUGUGAUUUUUCAGUCAUAAUAAGUGGAUACUGUAUUUUUCAAAAAUAAUAUGUUUAUGCUUAAUUGUUUGAAAAAUACAGAUUGUAAUGUAAAAUACAGUAUUUGGAAAUAUAUUUGUUAUAAAAUGCAAGAUAUGUACAGAAGAUUCGCAGUUAUAUAGGAUUGAAUUAUUUGUGUUGCAGAUUAAUCAGAGUAAAUACGUAACCUGAAAAGUGAUCAUUUUUUUUUAAUAUUGGAUUAAUAUCUGAAAGAUUUUUAAAUGUUUCAAAUUCAUUCCUUUAUUAUAACUUAGAUAAUUGCCAUCAAAAUUAGAAUCAAAUUAAUAAUUAC